Molecule: ribosomal RNA, 539 nt
Filed under: uncultured bacterium
Lineage: Bacteria
Description: bacterial SSU rRNA
Rfam family: Bacterial small subunit ribosomal RNA
Source: RNAcentral
GAGGAAUAUUGGUCAAUGGGCGAGAGCCUGAACCAGCCAAGUAGCGUGCAGGAAGACGGCCCUAUGGGUUGUAAACUGCUUUUGUAUGGGGAUAAAGUCAGUCACGUGUGAUUGUUUGCAGGUACCAUACGAAUAAGGACCGGCUAAUUCCGUGCCAGCAGCCGCGGUAAUACGGAAGGUCCGGGCGUUAUCCGGAUUUAUUGGGUUUAAAGGGAGCGUAGGCUGGAGAUUAAGUGUGUUGUGAAAUGUAGACGCUCAACGUCUGACUUGCAGCGCAUACUGGCUUCCUUGAGUACGCACAACGUUGGCGGAAUUCGUCGUGUAGCGGUGAAAUGCUUAGAUAUGACGAAGAACUCCGAUUGCGAAGGCAGCUGACGGGAGCGCAACUGACGCUGAAGCUCGAAGGUGCGGGUAUCGAACAGGAUUAGAUACCCUGGUAGUCCGCACAGUAAACGAUGGAUGCCCGCUGUUGGUACUUGGUAUCAGCGGCUAAGCGAAAGCAUUAAGCAUCCCACCUGGGGAGUACGCCGGCAACGGUG